RNAcentral lists this long non-coding RNA (6422 nucleotides) under Podarcis lilfordi (Lilford's wall lizard). The record is from RNAcentral. Lineage: Eukaryota; Metazoa; Chordata; Lepidosauria; Squamata; Lacertidae.
GAAUUUGCUGAGAAUGGCCCUCUGCUCCUGCCCCCUGUUUGUUUCUCCCAACCCCUCUCUCAUAGGAAUUUUCAGCCAGGAGAAAUCCUGGAAACACCAUGCACCCCCGCCCCCCAAAAAUACGAGAUUACAUCCAAAGCACCAUACCCUUUCUUGCAAAGCCAAAACUGAAAGUUCAUCACACUUUUUCCAUUUGCCAUCUUUCUCAGACUGGCAGAGUGAUCCUUUGGCUGCACCUGGAAAGAAAACAAGGAGAAAUGACAUGGGAAUCUGCUUCACGGGACUCACCUGAAUCGGCAACUUGGACGAAGCAAUGUUCAGAACCUUGCCCCCCCCCCAAGCAGAGCACAUGUAGACAACCCUCACGCUUUUUGCAGAUAAAAACUGGAAUACUCACAAUGCCGUACACGUUUGCAUUCAGUAUUGGAGGGGCCUGGCCAUGCAAAUAGAGGACAUUCUGCCACUGUAUGAAAGGAAGGAUGAGAGUCAGAGCCUCACAGUGUGGGUGCCUGGGAACCCAGGCUCCCCUAGUAUUGGAACCAGUGGUUCCCAGCCAGUUAAGCCCCACCCCCCACCCCCAGCUUUCCUGGGCAGCAGUGUGAUUUCAAGGGCAGAUGCCUUGACCUCUCAGCAGCCCUAAGUGAAAUGUCCUUCCACAGAAUCAGCGCCUUCCUAAUGUGGGCAUCCUGCUCAUCCUCAGGAACUCCAGCACUACCUUUCAACUUUUUAAAAGAAAGUGGUUGUGAACCUUGUGUACCGUGUUUUGGAACCUAUCCUUCCACAUGAUGAAGAUGGGGAGAGAGUCCACAACAAACUAAACCAAGUUCUUUAAGUAUGGACAGUAGAAACUGGGUAGGCAGAGAAGGGAAGAACUUAUGCUUACUACCCUUGGCAAAACCGCCCCUGUGAAUCUUCAUCAUAUGCAACAAUGGGGCAAAUCUUUAAACCUCCCUGUAUAGGAAAGCAGUAGGUGUGGGGCACACCCUGCACCUGCUAUCCAGCACUCAUCAGGGGAAACACACCAGGCCAGACAUUGGAUCCAGCAACCUCCCAAGCCAGUUGGCAUUGGGAGGUGAUUGGAGAAGUUCCAUUCAUGCUAGAGUGCCUCGGGGUGCUUACCAGUUAUAGUCAUCCUACUGCAGUCAACUUGCCCUUGUUGAAUGCCAACUGGAAUCAAAAUGAAACAGCCAGAUAAACAAGUCCAAACCACUGUAAUUCAGUCAUAUAAGGGAAAGCAUGUAGUACAUAAAAAGGUGAGACACCCUACUCAUUUGUACUAGUAGUGUCUGCACUCCCUAAUGGCUGGCAUAUGAGAGACUGUAAAGUGUGAAGAAGGAGUGAUCAGGGCGGCACCCGCUUUAUAAGGAAACGGCCAGCCCUGAGCUGCUUGUCCCACUGGCCCAAAGGCUAUUUCCUUCAGGAGGAAGUCUCUGAAUGGAGGGGUCAGCAAUUAUGCAACCUGAAUUGACUUUUAUAUUAAGAUUAAGAUGGGUUAAUUACCCAUCAUGUUUUUUGCAUGUCUUAUUAUUCAUUACAAACUCACGGUUGUUUUUUGUUUUGUUUUUUUGCUCUUGAACAGACUUGCAUGCACAUUUUCAUUCUUUUUUUGGGUCUUCUUUCCAAAAUACUUUUUAUUAAUCCUUAUUAAUUUAGCUGCAUUUGGCAAAAGCGUAAAAUAGCUCUCAGCUAUCCCAAUGUUUAUGGCCCACAAUCCCCCAUUUUUUGGUUGCACUGCGGCAAUUUGCAUUCUUUUGUAUACCAAAUUGCAUUAAUUAGGGCAUAUGCUCCCUUCUGUUGGCACAAGUAGAAGCAAAAGCCUGACAACUAUCAGAAUAUAAGUAGUGAAGAAUUGAAGGCAAUAACCCAGGAGAUAUUUUAUAGCAGCUUUUUUAGGUCCCAUUGCAAGACCCUAUUAGUGUGCAGUAGACAUAUGCACACAGCAUUUUAAAGAAGCAUUCCUUUGCAUGCUUAAAGUAUGCAACAUAGUUUGGAACGCAGUGCAACAUAGUUUGGAACUCACUGCCUUAAUGAAAAAGAUACUCACUAAUUUUAUAGGAAUCCAUUUUAAUCCUGAUGGAUCAGAUUUUGAAAAAUGGAAGUUCCCACCACCACUGGCCUAUUAAAUGUUUUUCAGCAUUUACUUUGCAAUGGGAACACUGGGCUUGAUUUUUUUACUGUUCCAUCACCUCCAGCCUCUGGUUCAAGGAACUCUCAUAUAUACACACAUAUCCAACAGCUGGUUUCAUUCCAAGCCUGGGAAAACUAUUCCUUUCCCAUUCUGCCUGAGCGGCACUGCCCAGUGUAACAGACCAAUUAAUGUAAAAGAUAACAUAUUUCUAUAUCCUAUCCUCUAUACAACAUAAUAUGAUUAAAAUAGACAGUAAUACAAGUCCAGUAUAUUUUUUUUUUUUUAAUAAUUUUUAUUAACUGGCCAAUCACAUCAAAUUAAAUCACAUCACAUAAAUUCCAAAUUACAAAGCCAAAUUUUUAAAUUUUGUUGGGGGAACCCAUACUUCAAGAUCAAAUCAUCUUCUUAUUACUGCAUUAAUGUCCAAAUCAGUCCCAAUCAGUCCAAACAGAGUUCAUAGUUCUAUCCAAUCUUAUCUUGGUGUUUCCACAUCAUAUCUUGUUCAUAUAAUUUUUAUUUUUCCUUUACGAUCUCUUCUGUUAGUCUCCUUAAGCCGAUAAGCAAAUAUAAUAAUCCUGUGUGAAUUUCCCGUUCUUCCAAUCUAAGUCCAGAUGGUUUCCAUAAAUCAUCUCCUUCGUAGAUAACAUCGCUCUUUCCAUCAUAAAUUAGGCAGUUGUCACUCUUAAAUCCCACCGAGGAGUUAGUCCACGAUAUGUAAACAACUCUGUUUCUUCUCCUCCCAGACUCAAGAGCUCCGACAGUGCCUCCCAAAAUGGCGACGGCAUUUUUAACUGCGUCAUUCCAAAACUCUUAAAUUUCCAGCUUCGUCUUGGAACAUUGCUUUGGUUCGAAAAUUUAUCUCCACACAGCCUUAAAUCCACAACUUAAGUCCUUAAAACGACAUUUCUGACUCUUUAGGGGAGGGAUUCUUGUUUAAUCACAUAGAGAAAUAAAAGAGAGUUUUUCCCCCCUCCCCCCUCAGUCAUUUGCCGUACCGUCUCUUGACGUAUCUUCUCAUAUCUUAUUCUUGUCUUGUUUUAUCAGAGAUCUCUUCUGUCAGCAGUCUUUUCUCCCCCUCUUUCCUUGGAAGUAUGUGCAAUUUAUCUCGUCCAAAUUGUUUCUUUUGAAGAUUCUUGCAAACUAGUGGCGCGGAUCAGAGACGGCUUCGAGGAGUGCCGGAAUCCCACAGGAGGGCUUUGUGCCUAGUGCCCCCAUCCCCACAAAUUCGGGGGUGGUAUAGGGCACAGCAGGCAAGGGCCGUCCCCCCCACAAUCCUGGAGGGGUUAAGGAGGCUAAUUACCCCCAUCAUAGCCUCCAAAUUACCUCAUGUGGGUCGGAGAGAUGUUAUUGUCAGCCAUCUUCCGAUGCGCCCCCUAGUGGCCCCCCAAUACAAGUCCAGUAUAAAAGACCAUACUAAGUCCAUUUCCCAUCUUCCUCUUGGGGAUCAUAGUGCAGUCUUCUGCUUCAUAGUAGCCUUGUGCAAACUGCCUUAUGCAGUGCUUCUACAAGGUGUCUCAAUUUCCACCACCAGUGGGGUUGGAACUGUGCCAGACAAAGGUGUUGAUUUAUUGACAUGGGUGCAACGAUACCAUGAAUCUUUUGCCUCCAAUUUAAAGCACUGUGAGUUGUCUAUAACACCUGAUAGGGCCAUUGGACAUGCUUCAGCCAUGUCCCCUAAAGGCUUAUGGUUGGCGAAAACCAUACUUCGUCUCAACAGCCGGGCUUUUACUUCCUCCUUUUUCUUUUCACAUCCGUAGUUUUUCAGCAGAUCAUCUCAUUAGCUUAUUUCUGAAAAUAUGUGUGCACGUCCCACCAAUAAACAAGGGGGGAGGGCAUGUGACAGGCAGUGGUGACCAAACAUCUGUUGCUGUGCUUCAAUAAGGCCACUGGGAGUGGAGAAGGACAAACUGUGUUCAUAUUUCGUCAGGUUAAAUGGGAGCAUGGAGACAUUUUGUCAGCAAUGGCUCUGUCCAUCCCUCCUGCUGCUCCUUUAAACAAAAAUCUUAGGGGGAUAGACUUGCCAUAUUCAUUUUGAUGUUGUUCUUGUAAAUGAAUAAUUUCCAUCUGUUGUAUAAUGAGCAUGAAAGUUGGUUGUACUGGGAGGUGGCGGGCGGACAGUGGAGAGAUAAAACUGUGGAGGAAGCUGGGGGCUGACUGUUCCUUCUGUAAAAGUUCUGUUAUUAUGCUGGAUUGUAUCUGUGGAUAAAAUCUUACCUCAGUGCUUCCACCUAUUAGUAAGUGAUGCAGACAAUGAAAUAAGGAAGAAAAAAAAAACCAUACAUUUUUAAGGCCAGGUGAUCUGCCUUACUUUUAUUUACUACCAUGCUGUAAAAUAAGACGCCCACAUAUUUUCAGUUCUUUGGAAGUUUUCCAAACAGUUAUCUGCAGUGGUGACACAAUUUAAUCGUGCUAUUUUGUGGUAAGCAAUAAUAUUCAUAUGCUUUGCUUCAGUAAAAUGCAAUAACUAUAAUAUUUUCAAGCAUUGUGAUCCAUUCAGAAAGCUCUGUGUUGGUAAUAUAGGGCUCAUCUACACUUUCUCUUGUGACGUGCUUUCCAGGCAUGGGUCCUAGUGGUAUUCCCUUUGCCCCACUCCUUCCCAAGGAUAAACCUGCUCUUUAACAAUCUGGGGGGAACCCAAAUUGCUGUUUGCUCCGAAUGAGCACUAAAGAGUAAUUUUCCCUGCAGGGAAAGCAGCGGGACAAGAGGAAGUAUAGAUAAACUGAUAAGUGUUCCACAGUGGGGAUUAAAUUAUAUAAUAAUUAAAUUAUAUUAACCCCACGAUUGAGGGGGCCAUGGUCGGGUGACAUCAGUACACUGCAUAACAUGACAUCAGCAUACCCCAAGCACGUGCGAGUUGUGUGCAUGAGUGAUGUCACCAGACCCUGUGGCAUGUAUGUGCAGUGUGCUGACAUUGCGUGGCCCCAGCCCUUUCAAUUGUGGGGGCAAGGCAACGUGCUUGCAGGUGAAUUAAGUAGGUUCACUUAAAAAUACAGUCAGAACAUAUUUCUCCUUCAUUCCUAGGUUUGUGGCACUUUCUAACCUGUGUAUGCAAAGAAAGAGCACAAUGCCAUGCACAAUUUCAGUCUUGUAAUGACCAUUGUAUUUAAUGGGGUCUACAUGUUAGAACCUUCUUCAGAAUUCCACACACACACACACAAUGUAACAAUUCUAAAUUCUAGCAUAGCGGUAAGGGUGUGGGUGUGCACACACACAUCGUUUUAAAACAAUUAAAUUGUGAAAGAGAAUAUGCUCUUAGAAUAUCCCUUUAAGUUUCAGCUCUGCUAUUUUAUUAAAUAAUAAUUAAUCAACUCCCCAUCAUAAGUUCCUGUCAGUUCAUGGAGAUGAAAAUGCAUUCAAUUCUGCAUAUUCAGUUUUGAAAGCAGUAACAGGAUGUAGUGAACUCUCUGCAAAUGUCACUCCUCUGCUACUCCUCCUUUUAGAAUACUUUUCAGAUAAGCGCUCUAUCAGCUUCAUGUAUAUGAAGCAGAGAUUGCAUCCAUUGGGCCGUUAAGUUUGUAACUAGUGUAGAUUCCCAGCGGAUAGACUGCCUUAUGGGAUGUAACCUUACCUAUUUUCUCAUUUGAGGAAAUAUACUAGUUCCGAUUCUUUCCUCUUUUUUUGGUUGUUGUUCCUAUCUCUCUGGGGAUAAAAGGAACUUGCUGCCGAGUAGCAGCCGCUUGCAGUUUCCUGCUGUGUCUUUCCACAGUUGUGGAAAUGGCCUGUGGCUCUCAAUGGCCUGUGUCUGUAUCUUUGAGCUAGGUAGAACAUGGAUUUGUCUGUUCUCUGAGCCUCAAGGGAAGCUAUAAAAUGAACAGCAUUUCAUGGAUCAGAGCCAGAAGGAACAACAUCAGUUGCAAAAAAAGGGGGGGCGCAUCCACACCCCAGCUGAAAAUAAACAUUUUCCAAAACAGUUUUGUCUGCUGAAGCAAACAAAGGUGUGAAGAUGUGAAUCUCCACAUAUCUAGUUUGUUCGCUGUUCCCACGUAUCGUUCUGCAAGAACCAUAUAUUCUGCCUGCUCAUAUUUCUAAUUGAUAGUCAUGUUGCCCGUUUUUUUUUAAAAAAGCUGCACAUGACCCUUCAAGAGAUAGUUUGGACUCUGAACUUAGACUCUGUUCUUAAACAGGGUUUAAUUAAUUGAAUCUAAUGACAAAAAUAGCAGCAUAAUUAAAACAAUACAAAAAUUACUAACUACUCAUGAUGCCUUAAGUCACAUGUAGGUUAAAACAUGUAAAAGGUUUUAUUUCCUGUUGAGUGGGACAAUAGCAUUGUAACCAGUGUAUUACUGACCAACUC